GGUUUGAUCCUGGCUCAGGAUGAACGCUAGCUACAGGCUUAACACAUGCAAGUCGAGGGGCAGCAUUUUAGUUUGCUUGCAAACUAAAGAUGGCGACCGGCGCACGGGUGAGUAACACGUAUCCAACCUGCCGAUAACUCGGGGAUAGCCUUUCGAAAGAAAGAUUAAUAUCCGAUAGUAUAUUAAAACCGCAUGGUUUUACUAUUAAAGAAUUUCGGUUAUCGAUGGGGAUGCGUUCCAUUAGUUUGUAGGCGGGGUAACGGCCCACCAAGACUACGAUGGAUAGGGGUUCUGAGAGGAAGGUCCCCCACAUUGGAACUGAGACACGGUCCAAACUCCUACGGGAGGCAGCAGUGAGGAAUAUUGGUCAAUGGACGAGAGUCUGAACCAGCCAAGUAGCGUGAAGGAUGACUGCCCUAUGGGUUGUAAACUUCUUUUAUAUGGGAAUAAAGUAUUCCACGUGUGGGAUUUUGUAUGUACCAUAUGAAUAAGGAUCGGCUAACUCCGUGCCAGCAGCCGCGGUAAUACGGAGGAUCCGAGCGUUAUCCGGAUUUAUUGGGUUUAAAGGGAGCGUAGGUGGAUUGUUAAGUCAGUUGUGAAAGUUUGCGGCUCAACCGUAAAAUUGCAGUUGAAACUGGCAGUCUUGAGUACAGUAGAGGUGGGCGGAAUUCGUGGUGUAGCGGUGAAAUGCUUAGAUAUCACGAAGAACUCCGAUUGCGAAGGCAGCUCACUAGACUGCAACUGACACUGAUGCUCGAAAGUGUGGGUAUCAAACAGGAUUAGAUACCCUGGUAGUCCACACAGUAAACGAUGAAUACUCGCUGUUUGCGAUAUACAGUAAGCGGCCAAGCGAAAGCAUUAAGUAUUCCACCUGGGGAGUACGCCGGCAACGGUGAAACUCAAAGGAAUUGACGGGGGCCCGCACAAGCGGAGGAACAUGUGGUUUAAUUCGAUGAUACGCGAGGAACCUUACCCGGGCUUAAAUUGCAUUUGAAUAAUCUGGAAACAGGUUAGCCGCAAGGCAAAUGUGAAGGUGCUGCAUGGUUGUCGUCAGCUCGUGCCGUGAGGUGUCGGCUUAAGUGCCAUAACGAGCGCAACCCUUAUCUUUAGUUACUAACAGGUCAUGCUGAGGACUCUAGAGAGACUGCCGUCGUAAGAUGUGAGGAAGGUGGGGAUGACGUCAAAUCAGCACGGCCCUUACGUCCGGGGCUACACACGUGUUACAAUGGGGGGUACAGAAGGCAGCUACCUGGCGACAGGAUGCUAAUCCCAAAAACCUCUCUCAGUUCGGAUCGAAGUCUGCAACCCGACUUCGUGAAGCUGGAUUCGCUAGUAAUCGCGCAUCAGCCAUGGCGCGGUGAAUACGUUCCCGGGCCUUGUACACACCGCCCGUCAAGCCAUGAAAGCCGGGGGUACCUGAAGUACGUAACCGCAAGGAGCGUCCUAGGGUAAAACUGGUAAUUGGGGCUAAGUCGUAACAAGGUACCC
Molecule: ribosomal RNA, 1488 nt
Filed under: uncultured bacterium
Lineage: Bacteria
Description: bacterial SSU rRNA
Rfam family: Bacterial small subunit ribosomal RNA
Source: RNAcentral